GGCGCACGGGUGCGUAACGCGUAUGCAACCUACCUUUCACAGGGGGAUAGCCCGAAGAAAUUUGGAUUAAUACCCCAUAAUAUUAUUAGAUGGCAUCAUUUGAUAAUUAAAGCUACGACGGUGGAAGAUGGGCAUGCGUCCUAUUAGCUAGUUGGAGUGGUAACGGCACCCCAAGGCUACGAUAGGUAGGGGUCCUGAGAGGGAGAUCCCCCACACUGGUACUGAGACAGGGACCAGACUCCUACGGGAGGCAGCAGUGAGGAAUAUUGGUCAAUGGUCGGAAGACUGAACCAGCCAUGCCGCGUGCAGGAAGAAUGCCUUAUGGGUUGUAAACUGCUUUUAUAUGGGAAGAAUAAGGCGUACGUGUACGUUGAUGACGGUACCAUAUGAAUAAGCAUCGGCUAACUCCGUGCCAGCAGCCGCGGUAAUACGGAGGAUGCGAGCGUUAUUCGGAAUCAUUGGGUUU
Molecule: ribosomal RNA, 466 nt
Filed under: uncultured Capnocytophaga sp.
Lineage: Bacteria; Pseudomonadati; Bacteroidota; Flavobacteriia; Flavobacteriales; Flavobacteriaceae
Description: bacterial SSU rRNA
Rfam family: Bacterial small subunit ribosomal RNA
Source: RNAcentral